RNAcentral lists this ribosomal RNA (4239 nucleotides) under Triticum aestivum (bread wheat). RNAcentral describes it as "partial small subunit ribosomal RNA". The record is from RNAcentral. Lineage: Eukaryota; Viridiplantae; Streptophyta; Magnoliopsida; Poales; Poaceae.
AUGGAGGUGGCUCUCGGCUCGGCGGCCUCGCUCCUCGGCAAGGUGUUGAGGACGCUGUCCGACAGCCUGGUGGCGGUUUACGUGGACAGCCUUCAGCUCGGCCACAACUCCGAGCAGAUCAAGGACAAGCUGCUGCACGCGCAAGGCCUCCUGCACAACGCCCAGGGGAGCCAUGUCUGCCACAGCCCUGGCCUGCAGGGGUUGCUGGAGAAGUUGAGCAGGGACGCCGACCAGGCAGAGGACCUGCUGGAUGAGCUCCACUACUUCCAGAUCCAUGACAGGCUACACGGCACCCACUACGCCACCACCCAAGAGGCCGGCGUUGAUGGCCUCAGGCAUCAAGCUCUCCAUGCCGGUACUGCUCUUCGCCACACCUUAGUCCGGUUCUUUUAUUCCUCGCGUACACCCAAGACCAAGAGGGAUGGUAGUGAUGAUGAUGCUGCUGUUGUCGGCCGCGUCACCAAAAAAUCCAAAACCAACUCUGCUAGUGCUAGUGCUAGUGCUGAUGGUGAUGAUAUGCUGCAUUUCGACAGAGUGUCCAUGUCCAGCAAGAUCAAGUCCCUGUUACAGGGCAUGCAGUCCCACUGUGAUUCGGUCUCCAAUUUGCUCGGCAUCGGCAGUAUCCCAAGCAAUGGCACCGCAUUGUCAGUCGUCCUACAUCGGCCUCAGACUGCUUCCAUGAUUAUACAAGACACAUUGUAUGGCAGGAGAGACGUUUUUGAGGAAACUGUCAAUCGUAUCACCACUCUUACCGGUACCGCACAGACUGAGACUGUUUCUGUUCUUCCUAUAGUUGGUCCAGGGGGGAUUGGCAAGACAACUUUAGCCCAACAUCUUUAUAAUGAUGGCAGGACUAAAAAGCACUUUGAUGUUCCAGUCUGGGUAUGCGUAUCGACUGAUUUCGAUGUGCUUAAGCUCACCAGGGAGAUCCUUGCCUGCAUAACUGCAACUGAAGAAGGAGGAAGGGGCAGUGCUGCAAAUGAAACAACCAAUUUAGACCAGCUUCAGAAAUCCAUUGCGCGCCGUAUCAAGUCCAAGAGGUUUCUGAUUGUCUUGGAUGAUAUAUGGAGAUGUGACGGUGAGGAUCAGUGGAAGACCCUGCUAGCUCCGUUCACAAAGGGGGAAGCCAAAGGAAGCAUGGUACUUGUCACAACUCGAUUCCCAAAGGUAGCAGACAUGGUGAAAACAGUUGAUCCACUAGAGCUGCGAGGUUUGGAGUCUAAUGACUUCUUCACAUUCUUUGAAGCAUGUAUAUUUGGUGAAGACGACAAGCCUGAGCAUUACGAAGAUGAGUUUGCUGGUAUUGCACGAAAAAUAGCAAACAAGCUAAAGGGUUCCCCACUCGCAGCCAAAACAGUUGGUAGACUAUUGCACAAGCACCUUUCUCAGGAACAUUGGAAUGGAGUUCUUGAAAAGCAUCAGUGGCUAAAGCAGCAAGAAAAUGAUGAUAUCAUGCAAUCUUUAAAGAUUAGCUACGAUUACCUCCCAUUUGAUCUGAAGAAAUGCUUUUCCUAUUGUGGCCUUUUCCCUGAAGAUCAUAGGUUUACUUCUUCAGAAAUCAAUCAUUUCUGGGUUGCAACAGGCAUCAUAGACUCUAAUCACCAAGCCGAUAGGAAUUACUUGGAAGAACUAGUGGACAAUGGUUUUCUCAUGAAGGAAUUAGAUGAUUACGUUGGUGGAUACUGCUAUGUAAUGCAUGAUUUAAUGCAUGAGCUAUCUAAGAGUGUUUCUGCACAGGAAUGCCACAAUAUAAGUGGCUUUGGUUUCAGAGCUGACGCCAUCUCGCAAUCUGUUCGGCACUUAUCUAUCAACAUAGAAGACAUAUAUGAUGCAAAUUUUGAGAAAGAAAUGUGUAAACUAAGGGAGAGGAUAGAUAUUGCUAAUCUGCGGACUUUGAUGAUUUUUAGAGAGUAUGAAGAAGAAAGAAUCGCCAAGAUUUUGAAAGAUAACUUCAAGGAAAUAAAUAGUCUGCGUGUCCUAUUUAUAGUGGUGAAGUCUGCACAAUCUUUUCCGGAUAGGUUUCCAAAACUUAUCCACCUCCAAUACCUCAAAAUUAGUUCAUCUCUUGAUGGUGACAGGGAAAUGAGGUUACCUAGCACAUUACCAAGAUUUUAUCACUUGAAAUUCUUGGACCUAUAUGAUUGGAAUGGUCGUUCUGAUUUGCCUGAAGACUUUAGCCACCUUGAGAAUUUACAUGAUUUCCAUGCUCGAAGUCAUCUCCACUCCAACAUUCGCAAUGUGGGAAAGAUGAAACAUCUGCAGGAGCUAAAAGAAUUCCAUGUUAAAAAGGAGAGCAUGGGAUUUGAACUAACAGAACUUGGGGCAUUGGCAGAGCUUGAAGGACGACUGGUUAUACGUAGUCUUGAUCAAGUGGCAACCAAGGAGGAAGCUACUGCAGCCAAACUGAUGUUGAAAAGGAAUCUGAAGGAGCUGGAAUUACUCUGGGGAAGGGAUGGACCAACUACAGAUGUUGAUAUUCUUGCAAGCUACUUGACCCAAACAGAGCUGGAAUUAGUGUGGGGUAGAGAUGUUCAAACUGCAGAUGCUGAUAUUCUUGAUGCUCUUCAACCACACUCUAAUCUUAGAGUACUUACAAUUGCAAAUCAAGGUGGUACUGUUGGUCCUAGUUGGUUGUGUCUUGACAUCUGGUUAACUAGUUUAGAGAGACUCACUAUAGAAGGCGUAUGUUGGAGCACCCUCCCACCUUUUGGGAAGCUACCAAAUCUCAAGGUACUCAAUUUGAAGAAAAUUUCUGGAAUGAAUCAGUUUGGGCUGCGAUGUGGUGGCGCUCCAGGGAAAUGUUCUAUGCGCUUGAAGACAGUCGAGUUUUAUGAUAUACCACAACUUGCUGAGUGGGUUGUGGAACCUAAUUGCCAUUCCUUUCCAAGUCUUGAAACAAUCGAAUGCAUCGGUUGUCCCAAUCUCUGUGUGAUGCCCUUGUCGGAGGUAUCUUGCACCAAUUUGCGCACACUUCGAAUUGUCAAGUGCCCCAAGAUGUCUCUGCCCUCCAUGCCUCAAACCUCCACACUGACAGAUUUGAAUGUUGAAAGCGGUGGAAGACGUUAUUCACAAACAUUGUUGUCUUAUGAUGGAAACAGAUUGGUUGUUACAGGGUAUGGCGGUGCUUUGGCCUACCACAAUCUGGAGAAAGUAGAAUAUAUGGCUAUUGAAAAUGUAUCGCACAUAUCAUUGACAGACAUCAAAAAGCUUAAAUCCUUAACAGAACUAAGUGUCGGAAGAUGCGACGAUUUGUUCCCUGAAGAGCUGGAUGGCAGUAUUGUCUUCCAUUCAGUUAAGAGUCUCGAAUUAGACGCAUCUCAUCUUACCAGCAGCAAAUCAUCAUCGUCGAAAGUGUUAAACUGUUUCCCAGCUCUUUCUGUGUUGGUGAUAGUUGGCUAUGAGGAAUGUGUAAUGCAGUUCCCAUCAUCCACCUCACUGCAGAAACUUACCUUCUCAAGGUGUAAGGGCCUAGUUCUUGUGCCUGUGGAGAAUGGAGGAGGAAUUCAGGAGGACAAGUCAUUGCUCCAAUCAUUAACCAUAGUCAGCUGUGGCGAAUUGUUCUGUCGGUGGCCAAUGAGAGAAUCAGAGACCAUUUGCCCUUUCCCUGCUUCCCUGAGGGAACUUGAUGUUCGUGAAGAGCCAAGCAUGAAGUCAAUGGCUCUGCUCUCAAACCUCACGUCUCUCACCACUCUAAGCCUAAAAGACUGCUGUAAUCUAACAGUGGACGGAUUCAAUCCUCUCGUCGCAGUCAACCUCAUGGAACUGGAUGUGCGUAUGUGCAAAACCUUAGCAGCAGAUAUGCUCUCAGAGGUGGCCAAAUUAUUGCCUGCAGGUUACAUCUCUAGACUAGAGAAACUCACGGUGGAUGACAUCUGUGGAUUGCUUGUUGCUCCUAUUUGCAACCUCCUCGCCCCGGCCCUCCACACACUUAUAUUCGAGAAAGACAAUGAGAGGAUGGAAGGCUUGACGGAAGAGCAAGAGAAAGCGCUGCAGCUCCUCACCUCCCUCCACAACCUAGGAUUUUGGUGGUGCGACGGUCUGCAGUCCCUUCCUCAAGGGUUACAUCGUCUCUCUUCUCUCAAGGAGUUACGUGUCUUUGGGUGUGAAGAAAUCCGAUCGAUGCCCAAGGAGGGCCUCCCCGUUUCGCUGAGAGAACUCCAGAUGAAUUGUCGCAGCGCUGAGAUAAAGGAGCAAAUUGAGAAAAUCAAAAGAGCCAACCCAGAUUUGUACGUCUAUUGA